AUACGUUGGGUGCAAGCGGUAAUCGGAAUUACUGGGCGUAACGCGUGCGCAGGCGGUUUUGUAAGACAGUGGUGAAAUCCCCGGGCUCAACCCGGGAACUGCCACUGUGACUGUAAGGCUUGAGGGCGGUAGAGGGGGCUGGAAUUCAGCGGGUAGCAGUGAAAAGCGUAGAUAUGCGGAGGAACACCGAUGGCGAAGGCAAUCCCCUGGGCAUGCACUGACGCUCAUGCACGAAAGCGUGGGGAGCAAACAGGAUUAGAUACCCUGGUAGUCCACGCCCUAAACGAUGUCAACUGGUUGUUGGGGAUUUAUUUUCUCAGUAACGAAGCUAACGCGUGAAGUUGACCGCCUGGGGAGUACGGCCGCAAGGUUAAAACUCAAAUGAAUUGACGGGG
RNAcentral lists this ribosomal RNA (395 nucleotides) under uncultured bacterium. Its description in RNAcentral is "partial 16S ribosomal RNA". It matches the Rfam family "Bacterial small subunit ribosomal RNA", at positions 523 to 918 of the family's 1533-position model. The record is from RNAcentral.